This is a long non-coding RNA of Malaclemys terrapin pileata, 5581 nucleotides long. RefSeq lists it as uncharacterized. The record is from RefSeq and is a predicted model, not a curated record. The transcript is spliced from 3 exons. Lineage: Eukaryota; Metazoa; Chordata; Testudines; Emydidae.
GCCCAGGUGAGGGUGAUGGGAGCCGGAGCUGCAGCCUGGGGAGCAAAAGGUGACACGCAGCGAGUCAGAUGUACACUAUUGAGGCUGCAUCUGCCCUGGCUGUGGAACCAUGUGACUUGCUCAUGAAAACAGAAAAGAGACGUGAGGAGCAGGUGUUUGGAUGCUACAGUGAUGAAGAUGAGGGCUUCUAGGUAUUUGGACACCAAGACCUGCCCAACAAGGUUUCACACCAUCACACAGCCAACCAGUUUUGAAAGCUGAUUAAACAGCAGUCAUCAGGGGAAUCAUUUAAAAGGACCAUGCUCCCAGAACUCUUCUUCUAAGUGUCAAGAAAAAAAUAAUUGAGGACAAGAGGAACAUCAGGCUGAAUAAACCGUGCUAGGAUGCCCACUGAUCCUAGCUGAUAUGAAACAAUAAGCCUCUAGCCCAAGUGACAGAGCUUCUGCCAUUCAAUGAAGUCUUGCAGCUGAAUAAGUGACUGUCGUGAAGCCAAUAUCUGUGAUGAACUUUAGCCUUCAGGGCCAUUGGAUGACACGGAGGCCAGAAUAAAAACAGCACCUUUAGUUGUCGCCACCAUUUUCAUUUUCAUGUACUGGUCAAACUAACAUACUCCUCCUCUGCCCCUCAUAAUCUGCACAUUUUUGGAAGUGAUUUACAUCAGGUUCUUCAGUGUUGCCUAGUAUACCAGGAAUAUGGGAUAGCCCUUGCUACUCUGCUGAAGACCAGGACGCAGCCAUAUUCUACUGUAGCACAAAGACUAUAGGCAGAUGCCAGCAGUGAAGGACAGAAGAAAAUUAACUGUAUCAAUUAUAAUGAAAUAAAAUGAACAAACAUCUUUAAAACAUCUGUGCAAAUAGAAACAGGACUGAGACCACAGACUCACUUCACAUAAGCUGUGGAACAGCAAAUAGAUAGUAGUGACCUGGAACUAUUUGAGCUGAUAAUGUAGAACUAAUUACAAAUGCUCUAAGCCAACCAGUCACUCAUAGGUGGAAGUUGAAUACACUUGGGUCUUCCUGGAGAUUUCAAAUCUGGUGAAAACAAGUGAAAUGUGUUUAGAAGUCUCUCUUGUCUCACAAAUAUCUUUUACUAUCAAAAGCCAUCAUCCAAUUUGGCAGUAUCAUACAACAAACAAGCUGAAGGUAGAUGAAGAGCAGGAGUGUCGCACCUUUUGAAAACAGUGUGGUGGCACAGUUGUGUGUGUGUGUGUGCACGCGUGCACCCACAAGACUACAAAAUUCCUGUUUAAGACUAUGACUACUUGUACCUACAAUUAUCAUUCUCUCCCCUUGUAAAAAUUCGGUUCCAAUAUUUAGCUAGAAAUGUAGCUGAAUAACAAAAAAUCCACUAUUUUGCACUUGGAACAUGUACUCAAAAGUAAUAAAAAUGGUAGAGUCAUGAGAAAUAAAUAGAUACAGGAACUAAAUAAAAAUUAUAGGGAAGAUGUGACAUUUGGCAUUAAACAAUUGUCAACCCAAUAUUCUUUACUAUGGCUCCAGCAUUUUGCUGGCAUUAUGUCUAUAACACACAUUUGGACUUUCAUUUAGAGCAUACAAGCUACAAAGUAUUUACAUGGAACUUUUAAUAGAGAUUACAAAUAUAAUUUCUUCAUGAAAAAACACUGUACUCCAAUAUACUGUAUAGCGCAUGCAUGAAAUUCUAAGAAAUACAGCAACCUAUGAUAUAGAUUCUCAACCUGUACAUCAUAACCCCUGGGAGAGAAGGAUGUUGUGACUAGCCUCCAUUUCUUUCUGGCUAAGCAGGGGUGGGGAAAGGAUUGAAUCUUUUAUAAGACUGGGUCAUAGGUAUGGAAAAAUGUUGCAAAUGGAAUUGUUGGCCCUUACUCAGUACACCAUGUAAGUGCCUACAGUUAUGCACAUGUUUAAGUGCUUUCCUGAACUGGGGCUCUGAGGAUGGUGGAUUUGCAACAAUAGUAGAGCCCAUUCUAGUGGUCAAGCAUUACAAAAAUUAGAUAGGUCUAAAUCCAGGACAGCAAAGUCUCAUUACCUGCCUGAAAGAUGAGAAUGGCCCCCAGGUGAUGGGGAAGAGAUUUGCCUGCAUAUGAUUCUCUGGUACUAAAAUGAAGUGAAUGUUCCUGCACUGACAGAAAAUGCACCCAGCGAAGGAAUAAAAAUACCUUCUGUUACAGAAAUGACAAUCACGUCUUUCCUUUCAUUUCUGAGAAACAUCAUUGGUAAUCCAUUCAUGCCUCCAGUGUUUGUAAGGGAUAAUAUUCUCCUGUUAGUGCAGAGAUGCUCAAUUAAGCAAUCAGCCAGGGCAGGGUAUAGUUAAUGAUAGCCCUAGGUUGCUCUGAAGCAAUGGGAAUACUGGGGGUGAUUUAUUUUAGUUAUUUCUGAUUAAAGAUGAUGACAAUUACUUUUUACAUGCUGCAAUAGUUUCAGCUGAAUUUAGUUGUUGGCACGGUUCUGUUGUUACAUCCACUGCCCCGGGUGAUGUCAGCCCCCCUGGAGAUCCAGAGCUGGUUUCCCUGCCAGUGCAGCUAACUACUACUCCAACCACCCACCACCAGAGCCCCAGGUUAAAUCAGUCAUGAAAGGGAGAGGUCCCAAAGCACUUGAUAAGGAUGUCUUCACUGCAGAGUUAACUUGAACUAUAACGUAAGUAUUGCCCCUAGCUCAAGUCCUGUCCAUACACAAAAACCCUUAACUUGAGUGUGGUGGUGCUUUUAACUCAAGUUAAGGGGCCCACAGGCUGGUACAGACUACAGGUUCACUUGCACAACUUGUCAGCUGCUAACACAAUCGCACUGUAGUUCAUGUGUUUCGCAGUGUGGCUGCUCUCACUCGAGGCAGCCUAACUUGAAAGGAGUUAACUUGAGUUAACUGCAGCAAAGACAGAACCUUAGAUGGUGCUUUUUGAUUAUCAUUAUUAUUAUUCAAGUAAUGUUACCCACAGUUUAAUUGUGGCAAAAUGCUUGCAUUUCUUUUGUGUGUAUUUUCUGCUGUGAAAGGUUCAUAAGCCAUCUUCCACUUCCUAGGGAAGGUAAAUGGAAUAAUUGAGUAGAGAUAAUGACAUUUACCCCAUGGAAAAUUAUUGUGUGUAAAUUGUAGCUUGAAUAUCUCCUUAAGUGGAGGAUUAAUAGAUUGUAUGUUCAGAGAGGUGGUUUGAAUGUUUGUUUGUUAUAAAGACUCCAAAAUGGAGACAAGAGCAAAAUAAAAUCAUUAGCAUCUUUAAGGCAUCGGUCAGGUGCAGCAAGUGGGAGUAUUCUCCCAUGGGAGCUCCCAAUUCUUUCCAUCUCUUCAGGAGGUUCUGCAGCCAGAAACUUAAUAAAAUAUAGCUUUAGUGGCAUUUAAAAAACAGAAAAAAGGUUUUAUUCCAUGUUAUGAACAUUUGUUCUUCAAGGAUGAAAUCCUGAUCCCACUCAAGUCAACAGAAGUUUGGACAUAGACUACAGUGUGGCCAAGAUUUCAUCCCGGAUCUCUAAGUUAGAGAUAAAUUUAGUAGAGCUACAGGGGAUUCUGUGGUUAAUGAACGUACUGUAAUACGCAAUCCAAUGUUAAUUAUGUUCAGUAUUUUCCUACUAUAAUUCAGCCAGAAAUGAAGAUGUUCUAGGCGAUUUAGAAUUGACUGAAAGCGUAUGUCCUCUUACGUAUGAUGGCUGGCCAGUAGAGAUCUGGGGGAACAAUGAGGCUUAUUAAUUUUUUCUUAGAUGUGUGUUGCUGUUGGGGUUGCAUUGUCAGUGAGCAAUUGCCAGCCUCUGUUUAUCAUUAAUUGUACCUUUAAGAGUGUAAAGGGUUCUCUUUUACAUAUUUCUUAUAAAUAUAAAUAAAAUAUAUACACAGAACAGAACAUUUUUGGUCUUUUGCACUGAUAAGGGACUUGAUCCUUCUCAUGUUGAAAUCAAUAGCAAACUCCCAACAUAUUCAAUGGGAUUUGAAUCAGGUCUCAAAGGCCCUACGUGGCCUAGAAUUUCUUAUAAUUAGAGCUCCAAUACAUAACUUCUUAAAGGUCUUGUUUUAUUAUUCAUUCCUGGAUUUAAAACUUUCAAAAGUUGGAAGAAUGUGAUUGAUGUUUUUACUGCUAAACUGACAGUGGAUCAGCAAUGUGGAGGUCCUUAUAAAUAAUUACCACAUUUGAAUAUGAGUUUACAAUUAUAUCAACUAAAAGAGAUUAUAUAUGCAAACUCUCUUGAACAGUAAUGAAAGAUUAGCACCCAGACCCUUCAGCUGAGGCUGAAAUGAACACCAUAUGGAUCUGGGGGGUUGUUCAAAACUUGCUUAAGGCUCACCUUCAGACUCCUCUGAUCCUGCUCUGUUCAUCUGUCUGGACUGUGUUGAUCUAACUUACACUGGGGUGCAGUGGAAGCAGGGGCAACCUACAGUCUAGGAUUGGCAUAGCUCAGGGAUAUCCUGGUCACAUCCCUUUUCCAUUCUAUGCCAGCAGCAGGGAGGCAUAAUAAUGCAGGGGCCCCUAGAUCAUCUCUAAAUCACUAGAGGAUACCCUUUACACUAGGAUGAUCCUCUCUGGGCUUGUUAAAUUGGCUUUAAAGGUCAGAUUAUGCCAAGCAAUGUGGCACAAAGCUGCCACACUGCAUGAAGAAAUCUGGCCCUGUAUUUGUACAUUACAAAAGGGACAGAUUUUAGAGUAAAAACACAGAUAAUAAUCCAUGAUGCCGUCAACACUGUACAGUCUGUUAAAUUCAGCCUGGAGUCUAUUUCCAAGCAAGUGUGGAUAUAAAAACCCUUUUUUAUCAUCAUUAUUGGUGGACCUUGUGACAGAGUGCUGAGAUCUGACAGGUCAGCACUCUGAUCACUGUAGCCUCAAUUAGUGUCUUUCCUCCCCUCUCCCCCCCUGACCAACCUGAUAAAAACCCAGGAAGGAAGGGUUACAAGAGAGAGGAAGACAGGGCUAGCUGAGCCUGGAAUGAAGGAGCUCCCUAGAGAGGGAGACCUCCUUUUCUCCUAGGACCCUGGCAAAGAAAGGCUGAAAGAAGUGAAGUUAAAACUGUGAUGUUGCACUGUACUGGGGUUGGUGGACAGGCUUAGAAUAAAAUACAGCUCACACACAAGAAGAAAUCAAGUCUGAGCAGUUUUGGGGGCAUCAGAAGAUGGGGACAGCCUGGCUGUCCCAGUCCUGACUGUAAUCACUGCUAUAUUCUGAAUUGGGCUCAAACUUAUUACUUGUUAUAAUUUUUCACCAGAUAUGUGUAUGUUGCUUUUAUGAGGAAAUGUAUAUUAAAGAUAUUAUCCAUAACAACUGUACAAAUAAUUCUCAAUAGCUUUGUUCCUCUCACAUUUACAUUGUUACUUAUUUAAAUUCAUUUUAGGUCCCUUACACCACAAACUGAAGACAAACCUACUUGAACUAUUUAUGUUAUCAUUUGGGGCACUUAAGUUAAAUGACAUGCAGAAAAGUUACAAUGCUCAUCCAGCAUAUACAGCGUGAACUAAGGCUAGAACACAAUCUACUGAGGAUGCACGAAAGAAAAUCAAAUUAGAAUGUUUGUGUCUUGUUACGUCUUAAUUUUUCUCAAAUGGUCACAUUUUCUAUUUUUUAAAACUACUGGUGUCAGUUUAUGUAGACAUAAUAAGGAUGGGAAUAAAUAUUGUUGACUCACUUA